Molecule: ribosomal RNA, 791 nt
Filed under: uncultured Acidobacteriota bacterium
Lineage: Bacteria; Pseudomonadati; Acidobacteriota
Description: bacterial SSU rRNA
Rfam family: Bacterial small subunit ribosomal RNA
Source: RNAcentral
AAAGGGGCUUCGGCCCUGAGUAGAGUGGCGAACGGGUGAGUAACACGUGGGUGAUCUACCUCUGAGUGGGGGAUAACCUUCCGAAAGGAGGGCUAAUACCGCAUGACGUUCUGGGUUUGAAGACCUGGAAACCAAAAUCGGGGACCGCAAGGCCUGAUGCUUGGAGAGGAGCCCGCGCCUGAUUAGCUAGUUGGCGGGGUAACGGCCCACCAAGGCGACGAUCAGUAGCCGGCCUGAGAGGGCGGACGGCCACACUGGGACUGAGACACGGCCCAGACUCCUACGGGAGGCAGCAGUGGGGAAUUGUUCGCAAUGGGCGCAAGCCUGACGACGCAACGCCGCGUGGAGGAUGAAGGCCUUCGGGUCGUAAACUCCUGUUGAUCGGGAAGAAUAGGCUCCGGGUGAAUACCCCGGGGCAAUGACGGUACCGAUUGAGGAAGCCACGGCUAACUCUGUGCCAGCAGCCGCGGUAAUACAGAGAUGGCAAGCGUUGUUCGGAAUUACUGGGCGUAAAGGGCGUGUAGGCGGCCUUGUCAGUCAGACGUGAAAUCCCCAGGCUUAACCUGGGAACUGCGUCUGAUACUACAAGGCUGGAGUUCGGGAGAGGAAUGUGGAAUUCCAGGUGUAGCGGUGAAAUGCGUAGAUAUCUGGAGGAACACCGGUGGCGAAGGCGGCAUUCUGGACCGAAACUGACGCUGAGGCGCGAAAGCCAGGGGAGCAAACGGGAUUAGAUACCCCGGUAGUCCUGGCCCUAAACGAUGAGUGCUUGGUGUGGCGGGUAUCGAUCCCUG